This is a long non-coding RNA of Neogale vison (American mink), 627 nucleotides long. RefSeq lists it as uncharacterized. NCBI's taxonomy places the organism in Eukaryota, Metazoa, Chordata, Mammalia, Carnivora, Mustelidae. The transcript has 3 exons. The record is from RefSeq and is a predicted model, not a curated record.
AAUCACAUCUCAGGGCUGGAAGGAGUCUGAGGAGAUUAUCGGUUCAGCCUCUUGCCUCUGGACAAUUAACUCCAAAACUGCAAACACCCCAAAGGGAAUGAGGGCUAUCAGGGCAAAGCAUAUCACUCUCAGAUGCGGCAGAGGGCCUCCGGGCACUGACUCGUCUCCUGCCGAGCCCACAUCUCCCACCACCUCCUUCAAGGAAUUCAGUGCUUCAGCAGUGAUGGCGACAACGACUACAACGAUGAUGACAACUUUGGUAUCUGACAUCCUUGGAGCUCCCGUGAGUUAGAUGGAGACAACAAUUCCUGUUCCCAGCAUCAUGGAAGGUGUUAAGAAAUCACAGAUGCCACAAAUGACAGAUGGUGCUGUCAGGCUCGGAAAUCACGAUUCUACACCAAGUACCUCCCAUGAAGGAUGAUGGCUUGAAGACCUCUGUCAAUCACCUAGCAGAGCAGAUGAGUGCCCAAGUAUUUCUGAUUUUAAGGAGCGCUUUAAUCCAAUCAAUUUCAGAGAGUCUAACUUCCUCUGAGCCAUGCAUGGAUUAAUUCUAUAAGAGUGCCUUUUCCAUUAAAGAAACUGAUUGCAAACUUCCCUUCUAAUUGUGAAAAUGCUCACCUGCUCAAA